UAUAUAAAGUCUGACCUGCCCACUGAAAAUUUUAAAUGGCUGCAGUAAUUUGACUGUACAAAGGUAGCAUAAUCAUUAGUUUUUUAAUUAAAAGCUUGUAUGAAAGGUUGGACGAAGUAAAAUCUGUCUCUUUUUAAUAUAAUUAGAAUUUAAUUUUUAAGUAAAAAAGCUUAAAUUUUUAUAAAAGACGAGAAGACCCUAUAGAGUUUAAUAAUUUUAAUAAAAUAUUUAAUCAAGAUUUAUUAAUUUUAUUUAAUUAAAAUUAUUUUAUUGGGGUAAUAAAAAGAUUAAAAAAAUUCUUUUUUUUUAAUACAUUAAUUUAUGAAUAUAUGAUCCAUUUGUAGUGAUUAAAAGAUUAAAUUACCUUAGGGAUAACAGCGUAAUUUUUUUAAAGAGUUCUUAUCGAUAAAAAAGUUUGCGACCUCGAUGUUGGAUUAAAGAUUAAUUUAGGUGUAGAAGUUUAAAUUUUUGGUCUGUUCGACCAUUAAAUCUUUACAUGAUCUGAGUUCAAACCGGUGUAAGCCAGGUUGGUUUCUAUCUUUAUUAAUUUUUUAUAUUUUAGUACGAAAGGACCAAAUAUAAAAUAUAUAAAUAUUUUUAUUUUGAAUAUUAUUAAAUUAGUUAUUUUGGCAGAUUAGUGUAAUGAAUUUAGAAUUCAUUUAUGUAAAUAUUUUACAAAUAAUACUUGUUUAUAAAAGAUAUAAUUAUUUCUUUUAUUUUAAUUAUUUUAUUAAUUAUUUGUGUUUUAGUAGGUGUAGCUUUUUUAACUUUAUUAGAACGAAAA
Molecule: ribosomal RNA, 784 nt
Filed under: Trechisibus antarcticus
Lineage: Eukaryota; Metazoa; Arthropoda; Insecta; Coleoptera; Carabidae
Description: partial 16S ribosomal RNA
Rfam family: Bacterial large subunit ribosomal RNA (bases 1-565)
Source: RNAcentral